GGCCCGGAGCUUGCUCCGGACCCCUUAGUGGCGAACGGGUGAGUAACGCGUGGGAACCUGCCCAGGGGCGGGGAAUAACAGUUGGAAACGACUGCUAAUACCGCAUACGUCCUCAGGGAGAAAGGCUUCGGCCACCCUUGGAUGGUCCCGCGUCUGAUUAGCUAGUUGGUGGAGUAACGGUUCACCAAGGCGACGAUCAGUAGCUGGUCUGAGAGGAUGAUCAGCCACACUGGGACUGAGACACGGCCCAGACUCCUACGGGAGGCAGCAGUGGGGAAUAUUGGACAAUGGGCGAAAGCCUGAUCCAGCAAUGCCGCGUGAGUGAAGAAGGCCUUAGGGUUGUAAAACUCUUUCGCCGGUGAAGAUGAUGACUGUAACCGGUAAAGAAGCUCCGGCUAACUCCGUGCCAGCAGCCGCGGUAAUACGGAGGGGGCUAGCGUUGUUCGGAAUUACUGGGCGUAAAGCGCACGUAGGCGGUUUAUCUAGUUAGGCGUGAAAGCCCUGGGCUCAACCCAGGAACUGCGUUUAAUACUGGUAAACUAGAGACCGAGAGAGGAUGGCGGAAUUCCCAGUGUAGAGGUGAAAUUCGUAGAUAUUGGGAAGAACACCGGUUGCGAAGGCGGCCAUCUGGAUCGGAACUGACGCUGAGGUGCGAAAGCGUGGGGAGCGAACAGGAUUAGAUACCCUGGUAGUCCACGCCGUAAACGAUGGGUGCUA
This 717-nucleotide ribosomal RNA is filed under the name uncultured Alphaproteobacteria bacterium. RNAcentral describes it as "bacterial SSU rRNA". It matches the Rfam family "Bacterial small subunit ribosomal RNA", at positions 70 to 818 of the family's 1533-position model. Lineage: Bacteria; Pseudomonadati; Pseudomonadota; Alphaproteobacteria. The record is from RNAcentral.